AAAAAUGACUGCUGCUGCUAAACCCAGGACACCCUGAUGGACAGAUAGCUCCUGAGUUGUUUAGGUAUCCAUUAGCUCAUUCCUGCUGGGGAACACUACCUUAGCCAGAGAUCAGGAUUAAAAAAAAAAAAAAAUUGUAACAAAAAUAUUUAUCCAGAAAAUAAUCUCCCUUCUAAGGAGGCAAGCAUGGAUCCUGCCUGAUAAAAAUGCUUCAUUAUCCUUCUCUCUAAUACGUAAACCGCCUCAGGAAAAGGUGGUAAAAAAUAGAAAGAAAUUUAAGAGGAUUAAAAUGGAAAAUCUUUCUCCUCAUUCAAAACAUCCAGAGGUGAUUUAUCUUCAAAGUAUAUUAAAUUCUAACUCAUUUAAUCAUGCUUUGAUGUGCUUUUAAACAUACCCAAGUGGAGAAAAAGGAGAUACCAAAAACCAACGACAUUUUCACCACCAACCCCAAAGUAAAUUAUCACAAAAGUACAAAUCAUACUACUCAGCCCUUCUCUCAGGAUACCAUUUAUCAGGGAAGAUAUUUCUAGUCCUUUUUAUGGUUCUGCUUAGGUGACUGCAGCUUCCUUAAGGGAUUGGUGAAGGUGCAUUUCUUUUCUGCUGUCUUCUUCUUGGUUAAAUAGGCUAUACCCUGUAUGAUCUCCUCUUUAUGUAUAAAAAUCAAUGUUCCAUCAAAGAUUUAUCUUCAUUCUUCCUCUCCCCAUCCCAUUUGGAUACCUUUUGGGUUUUUGUGUGUUUUGUUUUACUGCUUGGAUUUUGGGUUGUUUGCACUGAAGUUCCUGAUGUUUUAAAACAUCAGAGGAUCCUAAUGUUUUUUCAGUUGCCUGGUUUGGGGCAGGAUCACUCACACCCAUCUGUAUAAUUCAAUUUUAAUUACACUGAUGUACAUAUUACUGUUUCCAGGUUGGUGCAGGAUGAACUAAUCAGUAGACUGCAGCAGACUUCUUUUGCAGAGCAGCACCAACAGAACAGGUAAAGCCGUAAUUCCCAAGAUACAAGUGAAAUAAGUGUCCUCAGUCAUAUAUGCAUCUGUGAAUAUAUGUUCUUUUGUUCAUUUCAAAAAAGCCUUAAAUAACAUGUUUCUUUUGGCUUAGCCUCUGAUCAUUGAUGGACUAGCACAUUUGCACCAUCCCUACACUUUUACAUCAGCUAUCCAUUAUGUGAAUUGAUUUAUCUUAUUCGUUGGAUAGCAUGCCAAGUGCAGGGGUGUCAGUACAUUAGAUAUUUGUGAAGAGACUGCAGACAGCUUGGUGACACUAUGUAAAUGAUAUUUAUUUCAAAUGCACUGAUAAAUGCUUUUUUGCAUUCUUUUAAUGGAAAUGCUGUAUUUCUAUAUAGGCUGAUAUUUACAUGUUGAUGGAGUCUCUUUUUCUGUUUUAACUAGAAACUCCAGUUUUUCAUAAGUGUGCAGUAAAAUGACAGUAAUCUGCUGCCAAAUAAAGCUGCUUUUUGCAACUACA
Long non-coding RNA from Neopsephotus bourkii (Bourke's parrot), 1460 nucleotides. RefSeq lists it as uncharacterized. NCBI's taxonomy places the organism in Eukaryota, Metazoa, Chordata, Aves, Psittaciformes, Psittacidae. The record is from RefSeq and is a predicted model, not a curated record. The transcript is spliced from 2 exons.